GAUGAACGCUAGCGGCAGGCCUCAUACAUGCAAGUCGAGGGGCAGCAUGAUGCUUCGGCAUCGAUGGCGACCGGCAGACGGGUGCGUAACGCGUAUACAAUCUGCCUUGCACUGGGAGAUAGCUUUCAGAAAUGAAAAUUAAUAUCCCAUAUUAUGUCAGUAGUGCAUGCUAUUGACAUGAAAGCUCCGGCGGUGCAAGAUGAGUAUGCGUCCUAUUAGCUAGUUGGUGGGGUAAUAGCCCACCAAGGCGACGAUAGGUAGGGGUUCUGAGAGGAAGAUCCCCCACACUGGCACUGAGACACGGGCCAGACUCCUACGGGAGGCAGCAGUAGGGAAUAUUGGUCAAUGGACGCAAGUCUGAACCAGCCAUGCCGCGUGAAGGAUUGAAGGUCCUUAGGAUCGUAAACUUCUUUUGUGCAGGAACAAAAAGCUUCUGAGGAAGCCAUUGAGGGUACUGCAAGAAUAAGCACCGGCUAACUCCG
Molecule: ribosomal RNA, 482 nt
Filed under: uncultured Bacteroidota bacterium
Lineage: Bacteria; Pseudomonadati; Bacteroidota
Description: bacterial SSU rRNA
Rfam family: Bacterial small subunit ribosomal RNA
Source: RNAcentral